UACGAAGGGGGCUAGCGUUGCUCGGAAUCACUGGGCGUAAAGCGCGUGUAGGCGGCCAAGUAAGUGGGAUGUGAAAUCCCCCGGCUUACCCGGGGACCUGCAUCUCAUACUGCUUGGCUUGAGUAUGGGAGAGGAUGAGGGAAUUCCUGGUGUAGCGGUGAAAUGCGUAGAUAUCAGGAGGAACACCGAUGGCGAAGGCAGGUCUCUGGGCCUUACCUGACGCUGAGGAGCGAAAGCGUGGGGAGCGAACAGG
This 253-nucleotide ribosomal RNA is filed under the name uncultured bacterium. RNAcentral's name for it is "partial 16S ribosomal RNA". It matches the Rfam family "Bacterial small subunit ribosomal RNA", at positions 524 to 776 of the family's 1533-position model. The record is from RNAcentral.